GAUGAACGCUAGCGGCAGGCUUAACACAUGCAAGUCGAGGGGCAGCAUGAGACGGAGAUUCGUCGAAGUCUUGAUGGCGACCGGCGCAAGGGUGCGUAACGCGUGAGCAACUUGCCCGUUUCUGCGGAAUAACCGGUGGAAACGCCGACUAAUACCCCAUAGUAUUGAGUUUAGGCAUCCUUACUCAAUUAAAGAAUUUCGGAAACGGAUAGGCUCGCGUGACAUUAGCUAGAUGGCGGGGUAACGGCCCACCAUGGCAACGAUGUCUAGGGGUUCUGAGAGGAAGGUCCCCCACACUGGAACUGAGACACGGCCCAA
This 318-nucleotide ribosomal RNA is filed under the name uncultured bacterium. Its description in RNAcentral is "bacterial SSU rRNA". It matches the Rfam family "Bacterial small subunit ribosomal RNA", at positions 28 to 334 of the family's 1533-position model. The record is from RNAcentral.